GAAGAUGGCAGAGCUGCAUAUGCAGUAGAGAGAUGUGAGUUAAGCUGGGUUACAACCAAAGAAGGAAAGAGAAUACAAAGAGUAAGUAAGCGUAGGUGGAGUGGCAUGGACAGGUAAAAUGAGGAAAGUGUUUCCCAGAAUGGGAAAUCUUGUAAACCCUUAAAAAAUGUGGGUUUAUUCAGUCAAAUGUUGGCUCUUAAUUGCAGACUUUGAAAAGCAGUAGAUACAAUGGAAGAAGAACAAGUGCUUGAAAAGUAAUGCGAAGCUUUUGUGAGAAGUUUAAUGAGAAGGAUUAGAAGGAGAUGGAUUAAGAUGAGCCCUAAUAGGGCAGCACUUAAAGACACCAGGAUAGAUCUUUGAGUAGUUUGUAGAAUGGAUGACUAAUAUUGGAAGAGGAGUGGCUGGAGAUCAUGUUGGAAACCCAUCUCAAGGGUGAAACUUCUUUGUUUCCAGGUACAGAUGGUAGAUGAAAUUUUACUCUAUAUAAUUAAGGGAGGGCAAAUCACCAAAGGGGAGAAACAAAUGAAUAUCAUGUAAGUGCGGUAUUAAAGUUACUCUUAGAAGUUACUCUGUCAUGUGAAGAUUUUCUACAGAUGAGAGACAGACACUAGAGAGAAUUUGGCUAGGAAGUGCCAUUCAGGAGGAGACAGAGUCCAUCUGAAUGAAAUAUGGACAGCAGCUAAAAGAAGGGAGGCUGAAGAUAAGGUAGCGUACAUCUUUAGGGCAAGAUAGGUAACAAGGAGAAAAGGAAUAGGAGAAAACAUUAAAGUUGACU
This 775-nucleotide long non-coding RNA is filed under the name Homo sapiens (human). RNAcentral's name for it is "HSALNT0129030". The record is from RNAcentral. Lineage: Eukaryota; Metazoa; Chordata; Mammalia; Primates; Hominidae.